This is an unclassified non-coding RNA of Leptinotarsa decemlineata (Colorado potato beetle), 1861 nucleotides long. The record is from RefSeq and is a predicted model, not a curated record. Lineage: Eukaryota; Metazoa; Arthropoda; Insecta; Coleoptera; Chrysomelidae.
UAGCCGUUGGAGGGGCAAAGUAGCGUAGCAGGAUUGCAGGACGAAGUGUUGUGUAUAGCAGUGUACGAAAAACGCCUGUGAGGUAGGUUUGUGAGUGAACGUGCAUCGAAAUUGGAAUACCGAUUUCAACGACAGCUCAUCAUGGGAGGCAUAACUCAACGUCCAUGGACUCCUACUAAACGACGAGGCCCCAUUGCAGCCGAGUUCAGAGGACCAGGACCUGCAUGCGUAGCACUACCCUCAUACAUAGGAAAGAGAACAUCAGAAUCUAAGACGGAAAGAGCCCCAGCUUUCAGUUUUGGAGCGAGACAUAACGGAAAACUAGAAAGCAUAGGUCCAGGACCAGGUCAAUAUAAUGUUACAGGAUUGAGUGCAAAAGGGAAAGAUACGCCACCAGCUUUAAGCCUCCAUGGUAGACCCAAGGAACCCAAACCCGAGAAUUUCCCAGCUCCUGGAGACUACAAUCCUGACAAAGCUGAAAAAGUAAUUCACGAUAACGCACCAAAAUAUACUUUUGGCUUGAAAACCAAUGUUGAGAAGCCUUUAGGUACACCAGCACCAAACGUUUACAAUAUACCGGAGACAGUUGCUCAUGAUACCCCAAAAUACAGUUUUGGAUCAAAAACCCCAUUAGAAAAGCCGCUGGAUACUCCUGCUCCUAAUGCUUAUAAACCGUUCAGCCGAACUUCUAGUCACCGAUACUCUUUUGGGAGGCGGACACCAACACCUAGAAAUUGCGAUACACCUGCACCAAACGUAUACGAUGUUCCAAAAGCAGAUAAACUAUUGCUAGAUAAAUCACCGAGAUAUAGUUUUGGGGUAAAACCAGACCUUGUGAAAUCCUUCGACACCCCUGCACCCAACGUUUACAAUGUUCCAACAGCAGAUAAGGUUUUACACGAAAACUCACCAAAAUUCAGCUUUGGAGCCAAGGUCCAAGUGGAAAAACCUUUGGAAACACCCGCCCCCAAUGUAUACAACAUUCCAUCGGCCGUUGGCGAAAAGUCCGGCCCUGCCUAUACGAUCUCGGGAAGGACAAAGGAACCAGUUGACGAACGUGUGAAGAAUCCUGCUCCAGGACAAUACAACUUAGUGAAUCCUGAAAAUUAUAAAACUCAUUCUCCUGCUUAUACUAUCAGUGGAAGAGUGAAUAUUCCAAGUAAUGACAAUAUUCCAGGACCAGGGGUGUACUCGCCAGAGAAGGUAAACUGUCAUCUGAGACACGCUCCAAGCCAUUCUUUCGGCAUAAGGCAUUCCCCGUAUCUAGGCACGCAGAAUUCGUGCCUUCGGAGAGAAAAAACGUCUCUUUUAUUUUAAGGACUACCUAACCUACUUCUAACUAAAAUAUGAAACUAACAUUUUUUUGUCAAUGGAAAAUAUGCAGGUUGAAAUUGAUAUUUCUCCAGCCCACAGCUUUGGAAUUAGACACUCUCCUUUUUCUGACCAUUAUUAGGAAGAAACAAGGAAAACGAUGACGAACUCGACUGCAUUCCUGUCUGCCAUCCAUGUGUGGAGUGCAGAACUUCCAUCAUUUCAACAAAAUUGUCUUUUACCGGUCAACUUUUUCCAUAGAUGAGAUUAACCACGCCAUAAUCAAAACUGACAAUGAAAGAUAGUUUUCCAAAUCAUUUCGUCCCCACAGAUAUUUGAAUAACUCAUGCAUUAUUUAUUCUAGACACUACUGACAUUCAAACUCCAGACAAAAAACUAAAGGUUUUUUCCUUAAGAAUUGCGUUGCCAAUUAUGCCAUACGAAUAGCUUGUAUUAAUCUCAAAACGCGGUUUUUAUAAUUGAAAUCACUUUUGUUUGUUGUAUAUUAACAUUUUUAUAUCAUGUUUUUCAAAUAAACUUUUUAUAUUAG